GAUGAACGCCGGCUACAGGCUUAACACAUGCAAGUCGAGGGGAAACGACGGGGAAGCUUGCUUCCCCGGGCGUCGACCGGCGCACGGGUGAGUAACGCGUAUCCAACCUGCCUCUGACUGAGGGAUAACCCGUCGAAAGUCGGCCUAAUACCUCAUGGUAUCGUCUGCGGGCAUCCAACGACGAUUAAAGAUUUCAUCGGUCAGGGAUGGGGAUGCGUCUGAUUAGCUUGUUGGCGGGGUAACGGCCCACCAAGGCUACGAUCAGUAGGGGUUCUGAGAGGAAGGUCCCCCACAUUGGAACUGAGACACGGUCCAAACUCCUACGGGAGGCAGCAGUGAGGAAUAUUGGUCAAUGGGCGAGAGCCUGAACCAGCCAAGUAGCGUGCAGGAAGACGGCCCUAUGGGUUGUAAACUGCUUUUAUGCGGGGAUAAAGUGAGGGACGGGUCCCUCAUUGCAGGUACCGCAUGAAUAAGGACCGGCUAAUUCCGUG
Molecule: ribosomal RNA, 491 nt
Filed under: uncultured bacterium
Lineage: Bacteria
Description: partial 16S ribosomal RNA
Rfam family: Bacterial small subunit ribosomal RNA
Source: RNAcentral